AGUGAACGCUGGCGGUAGGCCUAACACAUGCAAGUCGAACGGCAGCACAGUAAGAGCUUGCUCUUACGGGUGGCGAGUGGCGGACGGGUGAGGAAUACAUCGGAAUCUACUUUUUCGUGGGGGAUAACGUAGGGAAACUGACGCUAAUACCGCAUACGACCUACGGGUGAAAGCAGUGGAUCUUCGGACCUUUCGCGAUUGAAUGAGCCGAUGUCGGAUUAGCUAGUUGGCGGGGUAAAGGCCCACCAAGGCGACGAUCCGUAGCUGGUCUGAGAGGAUGAUCAGCCACACUGGAACUGAGACACGGUCCAGACUCCUACGGGAGGCAGCAGUGGGGAAUAUUGGACAAUGGGCGAAAGCCUGAUCCAGCCAUACCGCGUGGGUGAAGAAGGCCUUCGGGUUGUAAAGCCCUUUUGUUGGGAAAGAAAAGCGGCAGGUUAAUACCCCGCUGUUCUGACGGUACCCAAAGAAUAAGCACCGGCUAACUUCGUG
Molecule: ribosomal RNA, 492 nt
Filed under: uncultured bacterium
Lineage: Bacteria
Description: partial 16S ribosomal RNA
Rfam family: Bacterial small subunit ribosomal RNA
Source: RNAcentral